UACGUAGGUGGCAAGCGUUGUCCGGAAUUAUUGGGCGUAAAGGGCUCGUAGGCGGUCUGUUGCGUCAGGAGUGAAAACUCGGGGCUUAACCCCGAGCCUGCUUCUGAUACGGGCAGACUAGAGGUAUGCAGGGGAGAACGGAAUUCCUGGUGUAGCGGUGAAAUGCGCAGAUAUCAGGAGGAACACCGGUGGCGAAGGCGGUUCUCUGGGCAUUACCUGACGCUGAGGAGCGAAAGUGUGGGGAGCGAACAGG
RNAcentral lists this ribosomal RNA (253 nucleotides) under uncultured bacterium. RNAcentral's name for it is "partial 16S ribosomal RNA". It matches the Rfam family "Bacterial small subunit ribosomal RNA", at positions 524 to 776 of the family's 1533-position model. The record is from RNAcentral.